AUCUUUUUGUCUUCAUAAGCAUGCUGAUUGGGUCUUCACAGUAAUGUAAGAGAUGUGCCACCUUCAAAUCUUGUUAUGCUUUAGAUAUGCCAGUCUUAUG
Molecule: small nucleolar RNA, 100 nt
Organism: Lemur catta (Ring-tailed lemur)
Lineage: Eukaryota; Metazoa; Chordata; Mammalia; Primates; Lemuridae
Product: small nucleolar RNA U13
Exons: 1
Source: RefSeq, a predicted model, not a curated record